This 1090-nucleotide long non-coding RNA is filed under the name Sorghum bicolor (sorghum). RNAcentral's name for it is "long non-coding RNA (SBIC_LNC004258)". Lineage: Eukaryota; Viridiplantae; Streptophyta; Magnoliopsida; Poales; Poaceae. The record is from RNAcentral.
CCGUUCGUAUCUGAUUCGUUUUCAUCCCUAGUGAUAAUAGAUAAAAAAAAUAUGUUCCUAAAAAGUUAGUUUUGGCGCCUAAGCUACAUAAUAUCUAAACUAUUUCACAUUUUACCUUUUUCUAAAUCAUUGUUUUUAUUAUAUAUUAAGGCAUAUAAGUUAUCUAUCUAGAAAAGUUAAAAUGUUUUAUAAUUUGCAAUGAAUGGAGUUUUGAUUUCUUCUCUCUUUUCAAAUCUCUAGCCACACGUGCUGAAUGUGUCACAUGGCACUGACCAUGGAAUCAUUGAGGUCAGCCGGGGUUUAGUGUUGAAAGUCAGUCAAGGCCGUGGGGCUAGGAUCUCCACUGUUUGUGCCCUGGUUGAUUCUCACUGCUCUAUUAUGGUCAAACAACGCGGCGGCACCGGAUUAUUAUUCCUCCUUUUCGUUGAUGGCAACUGCAUGCGAACGCACCGAAUCCAUUCAUAUGCAACUUGAUCCGGCAGGCGGCAGCGGAUCCUUGUUUGUGACCGGAUCCUCGACCUUAUCUUGGCAGUUCCUCCGUCCUGCCCUGCAGCGAUCAACCACAAGUGCACGAAGAUAUUUUUUUCUCUGUACACCACGGAUGACCACACGAAUAGCAGAUAUCAACACAGGAGUACAGGACACGCUCCAAUCAGCCAAAUCAGGCUCGGAGACUGCUGAUUGCUGAACCCUGAAGACCAACCCCCUAACGAAAUGCGGGCUGCUGAUACCUGAAAACCCAUCCUAACGAACAGUGAUGGUUCUGAUCUUCACAACCGAACAUGGCUAAGUAACUGCACAGAAUAAGUAUGAUGAAAUCACCAUCCCAUCAGCCAAACUGGGUUACAUGGCGUUUGCUUGCCUAAAAAGUUAUGGCUAAAAAGUUAUGGCUGAAAAUAUUGUUCAGUAAUUUAUGAUUUAUUGUGAGAAAAAACACUAAACAGAAAAAAAAAAUAGCUUAUAAGACAAACGAAUUGAGGCCAGAUAUCCCCUCUGCCAAACUGAGCCGCACCGAGUAGCAACGGCAACAAUGGUAUGUACAUCCAACAAAACGGUGUGAAACAAAAGAGGCGGCGCCGCGGCCUCAGGA